AGGGCUUGACAUGUGGGUGAAAGGUAUAGAGAUAUACCCCUCUCUUUAUGAGACAUCCAUACAGGUGGUGCAUGGUU
This 77-nucleotide ribosomal RNA is filed under the name uncultured Finegoldia sp. Its description in RNAcentral is "partial 16S ribosomal RNA". The record is from RNAcentral. Lineage: Bacteria; Bacillati; Bacillota; Tissierellia; Tissierellales; Peptoniphilaceae.